CUGCUCAUUUCAACAGCACAUGUACGAUAAUUUGAACUAUAGAGAGAUUAGCACGGUCCUUACACAAGGAUAACAGGCAAUUUGCAAAGUGUUUCAUGACUUUU
Molecule: small nuclear RNA, 104 nt
Filed under: Sorex araneus (European shrew)
Lineage: Eukaryota; Metazoa; Chordata; Mammalia; Eulipotyphla; Soricidae
Source: RNAcentral